UCACCAUCCAGAGCGACCAAGAGACCUGGCUCGUCGACGUCGCAGCAACCCCCUUCCUCACGGAAGGUGUGGGUGCUACCGCCAGGACCGAUGGAGG
Molecule: non-coding RNA, 97 nt
Filed under: Rhodococcoides kyotonense
Lineage: Bacteria; Bacillati; Actinomycetota; Actinomycetes; Mycobacteriales; Nocardiaceae
Description: Rhodococcus kyotonensis SAM-I sequence
Rfam family: SAM riboswitch aptamer (S box leader)
About the family: The SAM riboswitch is found upstream of a number of genes which code for proteins involved in methionine or cysteine biosynthesis in Gram-positive bacteria. The SAM riboswitch acts at the level of transcription termination control.
Source: Rfam by way of RNAcentral